CAAAAGCUUGGUCCUGACUUUACUAUCAGCUUUGGCCAAAUUUACACAUGCAAGUAUCCGCAACCCUGUGAGAAUGCCCUACAGUUCCCCUUACCCGGGGGAACAAGGAGCCGGUAUCAGGCACAACUUAUUGUUUUAGCCCACGACACCUUGCUUAGCCACACCCUCAAGGGAACUCAGCAGUGAUAAACAUUAAGCCAUGAGUGUAAACUUGACUUAGUUAAGGCCAAGCAGAGCCGGCAAAACUCGUGCCAGCCGCCGCGGUUAUACGAGAGGCUCAAGUUGAUACAUCUACGGCGUAAAGAGUGGUUAAGAGAACUGUAAAACUAAAGCCGAACAUCUUCAAGGCUGUCAUACGCACCCGAAGACAUGAAGAACCCCUACGAAAGUGGCUUUAAAUCUUCUGACCCCACGAAAGCUGGGACACAAACUGGGAUUAGAUACCCCACUAUGCCCAGCCAUAAACACAAGUAGUAACCUUUACACCUACUGCUCGCCCGGGAACUACGAGCAUAAGCUUAAAACCCAAAGGACUUGGCGGUGCUUUAGAUCCACCUAGAGGAGCCUGUUCUAGAACCGAUAACCCCCGUUCAACCUCACCUUUUCUUGUAUUACCCCGCCUAUAUACCGCCGUCGUCAGCCUACCCUGUGAAGAACACAUAGUAAGCAAAAUUGGCAGAGCCCAAAACGUCAGGUCGAGGUGUAGCGUAUGAGAAGGGAAGAAAUGGGCUACAUUCACUGAACCAGUACACACGGACGAUGCUUUGAAACCAAACAUCUGAAGGAGGAUUUAGCAGUAAGGAGGAAAAUAGAGCGUUCCCCUGAAACCGGCCCUGAAGCGCGCACACACCGCCCGUCACUCUCCCCGAGCUUAACUACUACCUAUUAAAUAAGAACAUAAUAACUGCAACAAAGGGGAGGCAAGUCGUAACAUGGUAAGUGUACCGGAAGGUGCACUUGGAAAAA
RNAcentral lists this non-coding RNA (966 nucleotides) under Hypseleotris compressa. RNAcentral describes it as "12S ribosomal RNA". It matches the Rfam family "Bacterial small subunit ribosomal RNA". Lineage: Eukaryota; Metazoa; Chordata; Actinopteri; Gobiiformes; Eleotridae. The record is from RNAcentral.